UACGGGGGGGGCAAGCGUUGUUCGGAAUUACUGGGCGUAAAGGGCUUGUAGGUGGCCAACUAAGUCAGACGUGAAAUCCCUCGGCUUAACCGGGGAACUGCGUCUGAUACUGGAUGGCUUGAGAUUGGGAGAGGGAUGCGGAAUUCCCGGUGUAGUGGUGGAAUGCGUAGAUAUCGGGAGGAACACCAGUGGCGAAGGCGGUUGCCUGGAGCUUUGCUGACGCUGAGGCGCGAAAGCGUGGGGAGCGAUCCGG
RNAcentral lists this ribosomal RNA (253 nucleotides) under uncultured bacterium. RNAcentral's name for it is "partial 16S ribosomal RNA". It matches the Rfam family "Bacterial small subunit ribosomal RNA", at positions 524 to 776 of the family's 1533-position model. The record is from RNAcentral.